GCGAUCACACAAUCACUAAUGCACCGGAUCCCAUCAGAACUCCCAAGUUAAGCGUGCUUGGGUGAGAGCUGUACUAGGAUGGGUGACCCCCUGGGAAGUUCUUGUGUUGCACCU
Molecule: ribosomal RNA, 114 nt
Filed under: Zingiber officinale
Lineage: Eukaryota; Viridiplantae; Streptophyta; Magnoliopsida; Zingiberales; Zingiberaceae
Source: RNAcentral